Molecule: transfer RNA, 74 nt
Filed under: Haplothismia exannulata
Lineage: Eukaryota; Viridiplantae; Streptophyta; Magnoliopsida; Dioscoreales; Burmanniaceae
Description: tRNA-Trp
Rfam family: tRNA
About the family: Transfer RNA (tRNA) molecules are approximately 80 nucleotides in length. Their secondary structure includes four short double-helical elements and three loops (D, anti-codon, and T loops).
Source: RNAcentral
GCGUUCUUAGUUCAGUUCGGUAGAACGAUGGUCUCCAAAACCCGACGUCGUAGGUUCAAAUCCUACAGAGCGCG